Molecule: ribosomal RNA, 494 nt
Filed under: uncultured bacterium
Lineage: Bacteria
Description: partial 16S ribosomal RNA
Rfam family: Bacterial small subunit ribosomal RNA
Source: RNAcentral
AUUGAACGCUGGCGGCAUGCUUUACACAUGCAAGUCGAACGGCAGCGGGGAGGAGCUUGCUUCUCUGCCGGCGAGUGGCGCACGGGUGAGUAAUACAUCGGAACGUGUCGAGAAGAGGGGGAUAACCACCCGAAAGGGUGGCUAAUACCGCAUAAAUUCUGAGGAAGAAAGCUGGGGACCUGGGAAUAGGCCUAGCGCUUUUUGAGCGGCCGAUGUCGGAUUAGCUAGUUGGUGAGGUAAAGGCUCACCAAGGCGAAGAUCUGUAGCGGGUCUGAGAGGAUGAUCAGCCACACUGGAACUGAGACACGGCCCAGACUCCUACGGGAGGCAGCAGUGGGGAAUUUUGGACAAUGGGGGCAACCCUGAUCCAGCCAUGCCGCGUGUAUGAAGAAGGCCUUAGGGUUGUAAAGUACUUUUGUUAGGGAAGAAAAGUCAGCUGUGAAUAAUGGCUGAUACUGACGGUACCUAAAGAAUAAGCACCGGCUAACUACGUG